RNAcentral lists this long non-coding RNA (568 nucleotides) under Vitis vinifera (wine grape). RNAcentral's name for it is "long non-coding RNA (VVIN_LNC001649)". Lineage: Eukaryota; Viridiplantae; Streptophyta; Magnoliopsida; Vitales; Vitaceae. The record is from RNAcentral.
ACAAAUGCAAGAGAUCUCAUUAAUGUUCUGGAAGACGCUAUUAGGGGUGGAUACCCAAUCUUGAUAAUUGCAGAAGAUAUUGAGCAGGAAGCUUUGGCAACACUGGUUGUGAAUAAGCUUAGAGGGUCAUUAAAGAUUGCUGCACUUAAAGCCCCUGGAUUUGGAGAGCGCAAGAGCCAGUACCUGGAUGACAUUGCAAUUCUGACUGGAGGUUAGCAUAGAUAACAUUUUCACUAUUUUUUUUUCUUCUUCUAAAUUUUAUUUUACUUGAGAGUUUUAUUCUAAUAUUCUGUCAUUAUUAUAUUUGCACAUUUUUUCUUUUAUUUACAUUUGUCUGUUAUUAUACUAUUGUUAAAAUUUAUUGCCCUUUUAAUAGUGGAUUAGUGGUCUUAUUUAUUUGGUUGUUUUCGGCUUCAUAUGUAUUCACAAUGCUGACAUUUUACUCUAAUGAGCUUGUAGGAACUGUAAUUAGAGAUGAGGUGGGGCUCACCCUAGACAAAGCUGAGAAGGAGGUUUUAGGCCAUGCUGCAAAGGUGGUGCUUACCAAGGAUACAACCACCAUUGUUGG